GAUUCCCCCAGUAGCGGCGAGCGAACGGGGAGGAGCCCAGAGCCUGAAUCAGUGUGUGUGUUAGUGGAAGCGUCUGGAAAGGCGCGCGAUACAGGGUGACAGCCCCGUACACAAAAAUGCACAUGCUGUGAGCUCGAUGAGUAGGGCGGGACACGUGGUAUCCUGUCUGAAUAUGGGGGGACCAUCCUCCAAGGCUAAAUACUCCUGACUGACCGAUAGUGAACCAGUACCGUGAGGGAAAGGCGAAAAGAACCCCGGCGAGGGGAGUGAAAAAGAACCUGAAACCGUGUACGUACAAGCAGUGGGAGCACAGAGCAAUCUGUGUGACUGCGUACCUUUUGUAUAAUGGGUCAGCGACUUAUAUUCUGUAGCAAGGUUAACCGAAUAGGGGAGCCGAAGGGAAACCGAGUCUUAACUGGGCGUUAAGUUGCAGGGUAUAGACCCGAAACCCGGUGAUCUAGCCAUGGGCAGGUUGAAGGUUGGGUAACACUAACUGGAGGACCGAACCGACUAAUGUUGAAAAAUUAGCGGAUGACUUGUGGCUGGGGGUGAAAGGCCAAUCAAACCGGGAGAUAGCUGGUUCUCCCCGAAAGCUAUUUAGGUAGCGCCUCGUGAAUUCAUCUCCGGGGGUAGAGCACUGUUUCGGCAAGGGGGUCAUCCCGACUUACCAACCCGAUGCAAACUGCGAAUACCGGAGAAUGUUAUCACGGGAGACACACGGCGGGUGCUAACGUCCGUCGUGAAGAGGGAAACAACCCAGACCGCCAGCUAAGGUCCCAAAGUCAUGGUUAAGUGGGAAACGAUGUGGGAAGGCCCAGACAGCCAGGAUGUUGGCUUAGAAGCAGCCAUCAUUUAAAGAAAGCGUAAUAGCUCACUGGUCGAGUCGGCCUGCGCGGAAGAUGUAACGGGGCUAAACCAUGCACCGAAGCUGCGGCAGCGACGCUUAUGCGUUGUUGGGUAGGGGAGCGUUCUGUAAGCCUGUGAAGGUGUGCUGUGAGGCAUGCUGGAGGUAUCAGAAGUGCGAAUGCUGACAUAAGUAACGAUAAAGCGGGUGAAAAGCCCGCUCGCCGGAAGACCAAGGGUUCCUGUCCAACGUUAAUCGGGGCAGGGUGAGUCGACCCCUAAGGCGAGGCCGAAAGGCGUAGUCGAUGGGAAACAGGUUAAUAUUCCUGUACU
Molecule: ribosomal RNA, 1176 nt
Filed under: Escherichia coli
Lineage: Bacteria; Pseudomonadati; Pseudomonadota; Gammaproteobacteria; Enterobacterales; Enterobacteriaceae
Description: partial 23S ribosomal RNA
Rfam family: Bacterial large subunit ribosomal RNA
Source: RNAcentral